GAUGAUGCCAAAAAAUCGUACCUGGCAUAUCACGAACUUGUUGCUUGAAUACCGAGCCCGAGGACCGAGUAAGAGCACGAACAAAGGCUUUCGGUACCUGAAACAAAGGCAACGAGGUGUGUGCUCGUCGCCCCUCCGAUGCUUAAGUCAGAGAGGGAAAUUGUGUAAAAGUAUGUGCUGUAAUUGUAUUGUAAAGACAUACCUGAAUAAUGGAGCUAAGUCCUGUAUUUAUAGAUGUCAGUGAUUGAGUUGUAUCAGGAUUCAACCACCUGUAAUCUUUAUCUUAUACAGUGAUUGAGUUAUAUCACAAUUACCACUUUAGGUUUGGCAUGAAUUGUAAUACGUUUAGUAUUUAGAUAAUGAUAAACAGUUGAGUCAUAGGAGCACUAAAACUCGCAAGAGACUCGAAAAGAGGACAAUAUUUUGGCAUGUGGACCCGACCUUAGUAGGACCCGAUUAUUAGGUCCGACCUAUGAGAGGCCCCACCACAUUUUAAAGGAUAUUUGGAGAUGAGAGUGGUCGAGGUAUUUACCUCGGGCAAUGCUUGAAAGUUCGGGGUCGGGCUAUAAUUUUCAUACACAUCAUAGGCCCCUGUGCAUCCAUGUCAGGAGCUCGUGUGCAAUGUGGGAGUUUCUGGCAUGAGAUGCAUAAGUAUAUUAAGUUCAAGAAUAGGCAUGCUCAUGUCAAGUCGAUAGGCCCCCGAGCUCAACGUGAUACAACCAUCCCGAGCUCUUGUGUUUAGGAUUUGACAAUGGAUUGAACUCGAGGAUAGGCCCCCGAGCUCAACGUGAUACAACCAUCCCGAGCUCUUGUGUUUAGGAUUUGACAAUGGAUUGAACUCGAGGAUAGGCCCCCGAGCUCAACGUGAUACAACCAUCCCGAGCUCUUGUGUUUAGGAUUUGACAAUGGAUUGAACUCGAGGAUAGGCCCCCGAGCUCAACGUGAUACAACCAUCCCGAGCUCUUGUGUUUAGGAUUUGACAAUGGAUUGAACUCGAGGAUAGGCCCCCGAGCUCAACGUGAUACAACCAUCCCGAGCUCUUGUGUUUAGGAUUUGACAAUGGAUUGAACUCGAGGAUAGGCCCCCGAGCUCAACGUGAUGCAACCAUCCCGAGCUCUUGUGGCUGGGAUUUGAAAAAAGGAAUUGAGCUCGAAGAUAGGCAUGAGCCCAAUGUGAAGCAAUUAUCCCGAGCCUUUCUGACUGGGAGUAGACAAUGUGUUGAGCUCGAGGACAGGCCCCCGAGCCCAAUGUGAAAUAAUAUCUCGAGCUGUACUCCAAUGAAUUUAAUAAUAGGUUGAGCCUGACAAGCUCGGGACAGACUCGUGGUCGGGUUUAUUACUUUGAUUCAUUGCGAGACUUAGGGGUGCUUAUACGGGGCAAAGCUUAGAGGUGCUUGUGCAGGACAAGACUCUAAUGUGCCUGCUCAUGGCAGGGCUUUAGUGCUUGCGCGGAGCAAGGCUUUGAUGGUGCCUGCUCGGGGCAGGGCUUUGAUAUGCCUGCUCGUGACAGGGCUUGGUGCUUGCGCGGGGCAAGGCUUUAAUGUGCCUACUCGUGAUAGAGCUUUGAUGUGCCUACUCGUGGUAGAGCUUUGAUGCUUGCGUGGGGCAAGGCUUUGAUGUGCCUACUCGUGGUAGGGCUUUGAUGUGUCUACUUGUGACAGAGCUUUGAUGUGCCUGCUCGUGACAGGGCUUUGGUGCUUGCACGGGGCAAGGCUUUGAUGUGCCUACUCGUGGUAGGACUUUGAUGUGCCUGCUCGUGACAGGCCUUUGAUGUGCCUGCUCGAGACAGGCCUUUGGUGCUUGCACGGGGCAAGGCUUUGAUGUGCCUACUCGUGGUAGGGCUUUGAUGUGCCUACUUGUCACAGGGCUUUGGUGCUUGCGCGGGGCAAGGCUUUGAUGUGCCUACUCGUGGUAGGGCUUUGAUGUGCCUGCUCGUGACAAGGCUUUGGUGCUUGCACGGGGUAAGACUUUGAUGUGCCUACUCGUGGUAGGGCUUUGAUGUGCCUGCUUGUCACAGGGCUUUGGUGCUUGCGCGGGGCAAGGCUUAGGUGUUUGCUCGUAACAAAAAUUUUGAUUUCACCAAUAUUGGCUGGGCAUUCGAUCGAGCACUUAAUGUUUGUGAACCAAAAGUUAUUGUAAUUCAUAACCAAAUAAUCAUAGCAUAAGCACGAGUAUUGAUAACACCAAAAUAUAUGCUUUUCAAGGAUUAAAACAUAGAUAAUGUAAUGUAUGUUCUAUGACAUGUGUCUUUUAAAGAUCCAUAAUAUUUAUUUUGGGAUGUACGCAUGAGCUACUAUUUUAGUCUCAACUAAUCAUGACGAUUUGCUCCACAUUAGUAACAGUGUAAAAGAUAUAGGCAAGUAGUGGUUUCAUAAUAUUUUCAAUGCAUAGCCUUUGUUUAUUCAAGAAUAAAAUCAUUAAAAGCUCCAACACCUAUUUAUCAUAACAAAUCAAUUGCUCAGGUGCAUUCAUUAGUUUAGUAUUACAAAGUUUCCAUUUUCACAAUGAUGAUUAAUUCUUGGAGCUAUAGUUCUUCAGGUGCUGUAAGACUUAGCAAAAUUAUACAGGUGUCCUGAAUUGAUGUCUAAGCAAAAUUUCCACAUGAAAUUUAGAAAUUGACAUUUUUCUUUUUGUUAAUUAUCUUCAACAUGAGUACAAAGAAUUUUAUUUGAAGGUAAGCUUCGUUUUUAUAUUUUUAUAAUUAAGUGCGUGCAUUUCCAUAGACUAGGUUAAACUACAUUAAAUCCAUAUCAAGACAUAAAUGGCAUGCUAUCAAAAGAUGAACAUGAUAAGAAAACGAAAAGGCUAGCCUGGUGACAUAUCCAUUGUUGAAUUGGUUGGGGAAUAUAAAAUUCACAACAGAAUAAAAAAAAUGAAUACCUUUGUUAGGUGAAAAUAUACCUGGGUUUAGAGCUAGGUGUUGUGUAUCUGCAUCAUCUUCAAUAUCGAGGCCCCCAGUAGCAAUGAACAAAUAUUUUCUCGGUGCUGAUAAAUUUCCAAUCAUAAAUGGUUCCAUGGACAUGGAAUGUAAAUUGAAAUUUCUAAUUCCCCAAUGGAUUGCUUCUGGCCUUCUCCCACAUGAUUUAAAAUUUAAAAUAGAUGAUAGCUUAAAGGGAACCAGUAAAACAUUGGGCCCAAUAAUCAGUUUGUGAAACCCAAAUAAGAAUUAUUAGCAGUAAGUUAACAUGUCCAAAGUGCCUGAUGAAGCUAGAUGUAGUGAAACCCAAUAAAUGUUUAGCCCAAGUCCUUUUAACAUUAAAGUAAAAUAAAAAGAGGCCUUCCCAUGAAUCCAUGACUUUACAUUGGGCCCAAAAGGAAUAAAUAGGACGAGUGCCAAUAAAAUGACUUUGAGAAGUUAUGUGGUCCGAUCAAAAUUAAUCCUGUUGAAAAAUUUCCAUGAACCUUGGGCCCAAGUCUGCUAAAGCCUAAUAAUAAAACCUAAAGUAAAUUCUUUCAAUCCCUCAAAACUAGAUUGCAAGUUAGGCCCAAGUGACCUAUGGAUAUUUUGUCCCAGCCAAAUAGACCCAAAUAAAACAAGCAAAAUUUGGAGACAAAUCCAUCUGAAAGAAGGACAAUUAGCUGCAAAAGAUUGCGUGUGCCAGGGAAAAAGUAACCUAACCAUUAAUGCUUGAAGCAGUGAAGGACCUCGACCAGCCCAUGAAUAAGCAAUCGAGUCGGUCUAAAAGGAGGAGAGCAGAUUUACGUGGCUGUAGGUUUUACGGCAAUUUAGACGGCUAAAAAAGAUGGCUGUCGACAGAGGUGGAGCUACCAUAUUUCAUCAAAUGAAUUGCCACGUCUCAAAUUAUUUUUGAGGACUUAUCACGAUUAUCGAAAUCCCACCAAAGAAAUCCCAAUUAUGAAGUACGAGUCGUUUAUCACAUACAAAACACACAUACACGAACAAAUUUAUACAUACCCACGCACGGGGAGAGAAGCCGGCGGCUGGAAUUAGAAAGACAUAGAAGAAUUGAGCUGCCUAUUGCUGGAAUCAAUCAAUAUAUACACACUUUGGCAGCGGGAGCUUUGAGGAACAUAUAUAUUUUACACAAACAAGGUUGCCGGUUGUUGUUUUUAUAUAGAUACUCCCACCAAAAAGACAACAGCCUUGGAGAGAAUUGUGGCUAUUUGGAAGACGCUAAACAUUAGGGCUGGAGUUAAUUAUGAAUUGAAGUGGAUUGAGGGGGAUUUUUGUCAUUCCAGUAGCAUCUUUUCCUUGCUUUUGACAGAGAAACUCAUCGUAAGAUGAAUUUUUCCAGUGGCGUUGUUAUGCAACGAAGAUGAUUGAGUUUGCACAAGAAUUUUGGAGGCGGAGAUGAAUGAUUCCCAAGCGUCGAUCAGAAUAAACUAACGUGGGCAAUCGCGUAGGUGAACAGCCAUUGUUGUGGAAAAUAUCCCGAUGAAUUAUGAAUUUUAUUGAUGUUUACUGAGUAAUUUUUCUUGAUUCUGGAUUUUGGAAACAGGAAGAGAACUGGGUUUUCGAAUUUGACCUUAUUUCAAUUCGAUAUUUACGUCUUUUUGUCUAUGUUGGACUUUGAAACCAUUCAAAAAGCAGAAACAUCCUCCCCGAGAUCAUUGGUUGAGAAACUGCUCGGAAUCAUUAUCCUUCCAGUGACUUUUUAAAUGUGGUGAGCACAUGGUUAAUGUAUCGCUUCCCACAGACGGCGCCAAUGAUGAUGCCAAAAAAUCGUACCUGGCAUAUCACGAACUUGUUGCUUGAAUACCGAGCCCGAGGACCGAGUAAGAGCACGAACAAAGGCUUCCGGUACCUGAAACAAAGGCAACGAGGUGUGUGCUCGUCGCCCCUCCGAUGCUUAAGUCAGAGAGGGAAAUUGUGUAAAAGUAUGUGCUGUAAUUGUAUUGUAAAGACAUACCUGAAUAAUGGAGCUGAGUCCUGUAUUUAUAGAUGUCAGUGGUUGAGUUGUAUCAGGAUUCAACCACCUGUAAUCUUUAUCUUGUACAGUGAUUGAGUUAUAUCACAAUUACCACUUUAGGUUUGGCAUGAAUUGUAAUACGUUUAGUAUUUAGAUAAUGAUAAACAGUUGAGUCAUAGGAGCACUAAAACUCGCAAGAGACUCGAGAAGAG
This 5082-nucleotide long non-coding RNA is filed under the name Olea europaea (common olive). Its description in RNAcentral is "long non-coding RNA (OEUR_LNC003410)". The record is from RNAcentral. Lineage: Eukaryota; Viridiplantae; Streptophyta; Magnoliopsida; Lamiales; Oleaceae.